CCUACGGGAGACAGCAGUAGGGAAUCUUCCACAAUGGGCGAAAGCCUGAUGGAGCAACGCCGCGUGGGUGAAGAAGGUCUUCGGAUCGUAAAACCCUGUUGUUAGAGAAGAAAGUGCGUGAGUGUAACUGUUCACGUUUCGACGGUAUCUAACCAGAAAGCCCCGGCUAACUACGUGCCAGCAGCCGCGGUAAUACGUAGGGGGCAAGCGUUAUCCGGAUUUACUGGGCGUAAAGGGAACGCAGGCGGUCUUUUAAGUCUGAUGUGAAAGCCUGGGGCUUAACCGGAGUAGUGCAUUGGAAACUGGGAGACUAGAGUACAGAAGAGGAAGGUGGAAAUCCAUGUGUAGCGGUGAAAUGCGUAGAGAUAAGGAGGAACACCAGUGGCGAAGGCGGCCCUCUGG
RNAcentral lists this ribosomal RNA (402 nucleotides) under uncultured bacterium. Its description in RNAcentral is "partial 16S ribosomal RNA". It matches the Rfam family "Bacterial small subunit ribosomal RNA", at positions 338 to 732 of the family's 1533-position model. The record is from RNAcentral.